CCCCAGCGCCACAAGUGGGAACCACGUUUAUUGGGUCUAAAGCAUCCGUAGCCUGUUUGGCAAAUGCCCUGUGAAAUCGUUCCGCUCAACGGAACGGCGUGCAGGGUAGACUACCAAACUUGGGACCAGGGGAAGCAGGCGGUAUUCCUGAGGGAGCGGUAAAAUGUGAUAAUCUCAGGAGGACCACCGAUGGCGAAGGCAGCCUGCUAAAAUGGAUCCGACGGUGAGGGAUGAAAGCUAGGGGAGCGAUCCG
RNAcentral lists this ribosomal RNA (253 nucleotides) under uncultured archaeon. RNAcentral's name for it is "partial 16S ribosomal RNA". It matches the Rfam family "Archaeal small subunit ribosomal RNA", at positions 474 to 726 of the family's 1478-position model. The record is from RNAcentral.